Molecule: ribosomal RNA, 1140 nt
Filed under: Salmonella enterica subsp. enterica serovar Mbandaka
Lineage: Bacteria; Pseudomonadati; Pseudomonadota; Gammaproteobacteria; Enterobacterales; Enterobacteriaceae
Description: partial 23S ribosomal RNA
Rfam family: Bacterial large subunit ribosomal RNA
Source: RNAcentral
UGAGGGAAAGGCGAAAAGAACCCCGGCGAGGGGAGUGAAAAAGAACCUGAAACCGUGUACGUACAAGCAGUGGGAGCACAGGUUUACCUGUGUGACUGCGUACCUUUUGUAUAAUGGGUCAGCGACUUAUAUUCUGUAGCAAGGUUAACCGUAUAGGGGAGCCGUAGGGAAACCGAGUCUUAACCGGGCGUUAAGUUGCAGGGUAUAGACCCGAAACCCGGUGAUCUAGCCAUGGGCAGGUUGAAGGUUGGGUAACACUAACUGGAGGACCGAACCGACUAAUGUUGAAAAAUUAGCGGAUGACCUGUGGCUGGGGGUGAAAGGCCAAUCAAACCGGGAGAUAGCUGGUUCUCCCCGAAAGCUAUUUAGGUAGCGCCUCGUGAAUUCAUCUCCGGGGGUAGAGCACUGUUUCGGCUAGGGGGCCAUCCCGGCUUACCAACCCGAUGCAAACUGCGAAUACCGGAGAAUGUUAUCACGGGAGACACACGGCGGGUGCUAACGUCCGUCGUGAAGAGGGAAACAACCCAGACCGCCAGCUAAGGUCCCAAAGUCAUGGUUAAGUGGGAAACGAUGUGGGAAGGCCCAGACAGCCAGGAUGUUGGCUUAGAAGCAGCCAUCAUUUAAAGAAAGCGUAAUAGCUCACUGGUCGAGUCGGCCUGCGCGGAAGAUGUAACGGGGCUAAACCAUGCACCGAAGCUGCGGCAGCGACACUGUGUGUUGUUGGGUAGGGGAGCGUUCUGUAAGCCUGUGAAGGUGGCCUGUGAGGGUUGCUGGAGGUAUCAGAAGUGCGAAUGCUGACAUAAGUAACGAUAAAGCGGGUGAAAAGCCCGCUCGCCGGAAGACCAAGGGUUCCUGUCCAACGUUAAUCGGGGCAGGGUGAGUCGACCCCUAAGGCGAGGCCGAAAGGCGUAGUCGAUGGGAAACGGGUUAAUAUUCCCGUACUUGGUGUUACUGCGAAGGGGGGACGGAGAAGGCUAUGUUGGCCGGGCGACGGUUGUCCCGGUUUAAGCGUGUAGGUGUGUGUUCCAGGUAAAUCCGGUUCACUUUAACACUGAGGCGUGACGACGAGGCACUACGGUGCUGAAGCAACAAAUGCCCUGCUUCCAGGAAAAGCCUCUAAGCAUCAGGUAACAUCAAAUC